Molecule: ribosomal RNA, 465 nt
Filed under: Vreelandella stevensii
Lineage: Bacteria; Pseudomonadati; Pseudomonadota; Gammaproteobacteria; Oceanospirillales; Halomonadaceae
Description: partial 16S ribosomal RNA
Rfam family: Bacterial small subunit ribosomal RNA
Source: RNAcentral
CCUACGGGGGGCAGCAGUGGGGAAUAUUGGACAAUGGGGGGAACCCUGAUCCAGCCAUGCCGCGUGUGUGAAGAAGGCCCCCGGGUUGUAAAGCACUUUCAGUGAGGAAGAACGCCUGGUGGUUAAUACCCAUCAGGAAAGACAUCACUCACAGAAGAAGCACCGGCUAACUCCGUGCCAGCAGCCGCGGUAAUACGGAGGGUGCGAGCGUUAAUCGGAAUUACUGGGCGUAAAGCGCGCGUAGGUGGCUUGAUAAGCCGGUUGUGAAAGCCCCGGGCUCAACCUGGGAACGGCAUCCGGAACUGUCAAGCUAGAGUGCAGGAGAGGAAGGUAGAAUUCCCGGUGUAGCGGUGAAAUGCGUAGAGAUCGGGAGGAAUACCAGUGGCGAAGGCGGCCUUCUGGACUGACACUGACACUGAGGUGCGAAAGCGUGGGUAGCAAACAGGAUUAGAUACCCCAGUAGUC